This 72-nucleotide transfer RNA is filed under the name Ophichthys cuchia (cuchia). RNAcentral's name for it is "tRNA-Thr". It matches the Rfam family "tRNA". From Rfam's summary of the family: Transfer RNA (tRNA) molecules are approximately 80 nucleotides in length. Their secondary structure includes four short double-helical elements and three loops (D, anti-codon, and T loops). The record is from RNAcentral. Lineage: Eukaryota; Metazoa; Chordata; Actinopteri; Synbranchiformes; Synbranchidae.
GCAACGAUAGCUCAAUUUAAGAGCACCGGUCUUGUAAACCGGAGGCCGGAGGUUAAAAUCCUCCUCGCUGCU